This 253-nucleotide ribosomal RNA is filed under the name uncultured prokaryote. Its description in RNAcentral is "partial 16S ribosomal RNA". It matches the Rfam family "Bacterial small subunit ribosomal RNA", at positions 525 to 777 of the family's 1533-position model. The record is from RNAcentral.
ACGGGGGGGGCAAGCGUUGUUCGGAAUUACUGGGCGUAAAGGGCUCGUAGGCGGCCAACUAAGUCAGACGUGAAAUCCCUCGGCUUAACCGGGGAACUGCGUCUGAUACUGGAUGGCUGGAGUUUGGGAGAGGGAUGCGGAAUUCCAGGUGUAGCGGUGAAAUGCGUAGAUAUCUGGAGGAACACCGGUGGCGAAGGCGGCAUCCUGGACCAAUUCUGACGCUGAGGCACGAAAGCGUGGGUAGCAAACAGGA